ACACUUUUAGUUUAAUGGUUAAAACCGUAGUCUUCGAAACUACUUAUACAGGUUCAAAUCCUGUAGAGUGUU
Molecule: transfer RNA, 72 nt
Filed under: Pneumocystis carinii
Lineage: Eukaryota; Fungi; Ascomycota; Pneumocystomycetes; Pneumocystales; Pneumocystaceae
Description: tRNA-Arg
Rfam family: tRNA
About the family: Transfer RNA (tRNA) molecules are approximately 80 nucleotides in length. Their secondary structure includes four short double-helical elements and three loops (D, anti-codon, and T loops).
Source: RNAcentral